GAUGAACGCUGGCGGCGUGCCUAAUACAUGCCAGUCGAGCGAACGGACGAGAAGCUUGCUUCUCUGAUGUUAGCGGCGGACGGGUGAGUAACACGUGGAUAACCUACCUAUAAGACUGGGAUAACUUCGGGAAACCGGAGCUAAUACCGGAUAAUAUUUUGAACCGCAUGGUUCAAAAGUGAAAGACGGUCUUGCUGUCACUUAUAGAUGGAUCCGCGCUGCAUUAGCUAGUUGGUAAGGUAACGGCUUACCAAGGCAACGAUGCAUAGCCGACCUGAGAGGGUGAUCGGCCACACUGGAACUGAGACACGGUCCAGACUCCUACGGGAGGCAGCAGUAGGGAAUCUUCCGCAAUGGGCGAAAGCCUGACGGAGCAACGCCGCGUGAGUGAUGAAGGUCUUCGGAUCGUAAAACUCUGUUAUUAGGGACGAACAUAUGUGUAAGUAACUGUGCACAUCUUGACGGUACCUAAUCAGAAAGCCACGGCUAACUACGUG
This 497-nucleotide ribosomal RNA is filed under the name uncultured bacterium. RNAcentral describes it as "partial 16S ribosomal RNA". It matches the Rfam family "Bacterial small subunit ribosomal RNA", at positions 28 to 507 of the family's 1533-position model. The record is from RNAcentral.